GGUUUCCAGUUUGAAGAAAAGGGCUCAGUUGCCUUAGAAUGAGUUGAAUCUAUUUCCUUUAAUGGCGUAGUGGAAUGCACAUGUUCUUAGCGCUGAUUUAAACUUUUCUGACCUUGAAAUUACAGGUCUUAUGCAUUCAUAACCUAUAGCUUUCAUGACUGUCUCUGUUGUUUAAUGCUAGUUGAACUUUUCUGAAACAGAAAUUUCAUGUCUCGUGCAUGCAUGGCCUUUGCCUUUUGUGAUAUGGUUUAAAUGUUUAAGUUGUUUAAACUUAUUUAACUUUUUCUGGAACAGAAAUCGCACAUCUUGUGCAUGCAUAGCCUAUACUUUCAUGAUAGUGAUGAAUAAUACCGAUCCACUUUCCUGGCAAUAAACUGCAUUUUUUGUGUUUUUGGAUCAAUAAGAAUAAACCAGAUGUCUUGUGCAUGCAUGUCCUGUAUUUACGCUCUGUGGCUAGUUGUAUCUCUUAUGCUUAUGGAUUGUUGCUGUGUCAUACCCUAUAUAUGAUGGAUUCUUGAGGUCAGCAGAACAUAAUAGACUUUCUGAAUGUCUAUCUAUAAAUUGCUCUUUUACUUUUACUGAUGAUGGAAUAUAUAGGGUUAAUGCAUGAUACAUUUUGCCAUUUUCGCAUUUAUGAUCGUUGCUGUCUCUUGCUGGCUGAAUAACUGAUCAUUUUACUUGUUUGAUUUCAAUUUGUUGUUAACUUGUAACCUGCCCUUCGAAAUCAAAUAUGUUGACAACUUGUCAUUCUUCCCUGUUGCUCCUGGGUCAUUUCUUUCACUAUUUAUUGGAGUUGCUUUACCUAUUGCGGAUCGUGAUCUUUUGUUUGCUCAUGCUUGAAAGAUGUUAAAAAUUUUCAGUUCUCCUUUAACUAUAACUCUGUCAAGCUGAGAUCUAAUGGCUACAUGAUUUAAUCUGACGUUGUCCUAAAAUUGAAAGUUCUGCAUUUUGUGUGUGAAUUCAAGACUCUCUUGACCUUUGUGCCUUGAUCCGUUGCUGCAUAUUGAUUUUUCUAACGCCUAUCCAUUCACUAAUAACAUAUUCACCCUGUUGGUUUGUUAACCCUUCAUUCUAUUGUGUUUAUUAUGUUAUCAGAAUCAACAAAAAGGGUAGUAGUGCUUAAAUAUCUCUCCUCUUAAAAUGUUUAAAUGCCUACUAAUUGCUUACUGCAAGUAUUGGGCUCAAGGUUCUAUAAUGACAAGCGAUUAUUACUUGAAGACUACAAUUCAUUAUUAUUAUGUGAUUUUAGAUGAGGUGCAUGUUAAACCUAUAUGUGUGCAGCAUGCCUAUUAAAUUUUACAUGUGCACUAUUCGAUUAAAUUUGAAACUAAUCACUCCAUAUUCAAUCUCCAGCUUCUGCGUAUAAUUUAUUUCUUUAUUCUUUAUCAAUUUGAAUCGCAUUGUAUGGAUAAGACAGAAGAAACUAUAAAGUCAAGUAGAUAACGUGUGUGGCAUGUAGGCAAGGAAAAUAACAUGGAUGAAAAGGGCCACAGGACCCAAGAAUUUGCUUGAGCUCUGCAUGCUGUGUAUUGCUGAUGACAGAGGCAUGGUUAUGGCUUCUCUACCAGGGACAUAGUGUACCGUAGAGAACAACAGGAAUGCAUGUCUGAGGCAUAGCAACAGACCUGCAGCCAUGUAGCUGUUCUGACCUCAACAACCAGACUUAGAAUCCAUGUUGGGUGACUGCUGCAAUGAACUGCUAAACCUUCUUCCAUUGUAGGCUAUAGUGACUGAUCACUGAACAGCAAUAGCAUCCCCCCACACUGUAAAACCUUGUGGUCAGCUUCUCCAGUGGUUGGUAACUGGCAUCAUCUCUACAGCAAAAAAAAAAAAAAGAAGUUUAGACACCCCUUUCUCGGAUCACCGUUUCUUUUUGACAAUCUGAUCACCCUGCAAAUGCAACUAACAGCCUUUAAAGAAAAAGAAAAGAUCGUGUUGCUAACGUAAGAACUGUGCACGGAGCUGUUUUUUGUACUGAACUUUUUGCUGCGGUUCUACAGUUGUCCAUUUGAGUUGACUCCUCGUCCUUGACAUUAAUGAGGGCGCCAGAAAAUGCUGCAGGGUCGUUGCUGAGGCUGGGCCAAUAAAAUUUUGCGGGUUAUAUACCUGUCUGCUCAACGGGCCUUCACAACCGAAUUGAAUUGAUCUAACCAGGUCUAAUUUGAGCUUUCGGGCCAUACCGAAAACACUAGUCCAAUCAGGUCUGAACUUUGAACCGAAGGAUAUAUGACGGUGAGUUUUUGGACCUUUUUUUGCAUAAAGAACGGCUGAUUCGUGGGUCACGAUUGGCCAUCUAUGACCUCAGAAAGGUCAAAAACCUUGACUUUUGAGGUAAUAACUAAUCUUUUUACAUAAAUAAUUAAUGUAAAAGGGAGAAAAAAAGGUAAGAAUAUAUUAUAUAAUAUAUAUAUUAUUUUCAAUUUUCUCCUCUCUCAUGGGACGUUCUCUAAAAGAGGUAAGUGGAAUAUUCGAAUUAUUUCAUUUACAAAUUGUUUGGAUCUUUGGGGUAGUAUUAAUUUUUUUUGUAUGA
RNAcentral lists this small RNA (2530 nucleotides) under Theobroma cacao (cacao). Its description in RNAcentral is "sRNA Tc09v2_g028290". The record is from RNAcentral. Lineage: Eukaryota; Viridiplantae; Streptophyta; Magnoliopsida; Malvales; Malvaceae.